CAGCAGCCGCGGUAAUACGUAGGGGGCGAGCGUUAUCCGGAAUUACUGGGCGUAAAGGGUGCGUAGGCGGCCUUUUAAGUCAGAUGUGAAAGGCUACGGCUUAACCGUAGUUAGCAUUUGAAACUAAGAGGCUUGAGUGCAGGAGAGGAGAGUGGAAUUCCUAGUGUAGCGGUGAAAUGCGUAGAUAUUAGGAGGAACACCAGUGGCGAAGGCGACUCUCUGGACUGCAACUGACGCUGAGGCACGAAAGCGUGGGUAGCGAACAGGAUUAGAUACCCUGGUAGUCCACGCCGUAAACGAUGAGUGCUAGGUGUUGGUGGGGACACCCAUCAGUGCCGCAGCUAACGCAUUAAGCACUCCGCCUGGGGAGUACGGUCGCAAGACUGAAACUCAAAGGAAUUGACGGGGACCCGCACAAGCAGCGGAGCAUGUGGUUUAAUUCGACGCAACGCGAAGAACCUUACCAGGGCUUGACAUCCCUCUGACCGGAUUAGAGAUAGUCCUUUCUCUUCGGAGACAGAGGAGACAGGUGGUGCAUGGCC
RNAcentral lists this ribosomal RNA (542 nucleotides) under uncultured archaeon. RNAcentral's name for it is "bacterial SSU rRNA". It matches the Rfam family "Bacterial small subunit ribosomal RNA", at positions 509 to 1050 of the family's 1533-position model. The record is from RNAcentral.